CCUACGGGUGGCAGCAGUGAGGACUAUUGGUCAAUGGACGAGAGUCUGAACCAGCCAAGUAGCGUGAAGGAUGACUGCCCUAUGGGUUGUAAACUUCUUUUAUAUGGGAAUAAAACGUUCCACGUGUGGGAUUUUGUAUGUACCAUAUGAAUAAGGAUCGGCUAACUCCGUGCCAGCAGCCGCGGUAAUACGGAGGAUCCGAGCGUUAUCCGGAUUUAUUGGGUUUAAAGGGAGCGUAGGUGGAUUGUUAAGUCAGUUGUGAAAGUUUGAGGCUCAAACGUAAAAUUGCAGUUGAAACUGGCAGUCUUGAGUACAGGAGAGGUGGGCGGAAUUCGUGGUGUAGCGGUGACAUGCGUAGAUAUCACGAAGAACUCCGAUUGCGAAGGCAGUUCACUGGACUGCAACUGACACUGAGGCUCGAAAGUGUGGGUAUCAAACAGGAUUAGAUACCCGAGUAGUC
RNAcentral lists this ribosomal RNA (460 nucleotides) under uncultured bacterium. RNAcentral describes it as "partial 16S ribosomal RNA". It matches the Rfam family "Bacterial small subunit ribosomal RNA", at positions 338 to 795 of the family's 1533-position model. The record is from RNAcentral.